RNAcentral lists this ribosomal RNA (692 nucleotides) under Paenibacillus amylolyticus. RNAcentral describes it as "bacterial SSU rRNA". It matches the Rfam family "Bacterial small subunit ribosomal RNA", at positions 75 to 751 of the family's 1533-position model. Lineage: Bacteria; Bacillati; Bacillota; Bacilli; Caryophanales; Paenibacillaceae. The record is from RNAcentral.
GAAGCUUGCUUCCCUGAUACUUAGCGGCGGACGGGUGAGUAACACGUAGGCAACCUGCCCUCAAGUUUGGGACAACUACCGGAAACGGUAGCUAAUACCGAAUAGUUGUUUUCUUCGCCUGAAGGAAACUGGAAAGACGGAGCAAUCUGUCACUUGGGGAUGGGCCUGCGGCGCAUUAGCUAGUUGGUGGGGUAACGGCUCACCAAGGCGACGAUGCGUAGCCGACCUGAGAGGGUGAUCGGCCACACUGGGACUGAGACACGGCCCAGACUCCUACGGGAGGCAGCAGUAGGGAAUCUUCCGCAAUGGGCGAAAGCCUGACGGAGCAAUGCCGCGUGAGUGAUGAAGGUUUUCGGAUCGUAAAGCUCUGUUGCCAGGGAAGAACGCUUGGGAGAGUAACUGCUCUCAAGGUGACGGUACCUGAGAAGAAAGCCCCGGCUAACUACGUGCCAGCAGCCGCGGUAAUACGUAGGGGGCAAGCGUUGUCCGGAAUUAUUGGGCGUAAAGCGCGCGCAGGCGGUCAUUUAAGUCUGGUGUUUAAUCCCGGGGCUCAACCCCGGAUCGCACUGGAAACUGGGUGACUUGAGUGCAGAAGAGGAGAGUGGAAUUCCACGUGUAGCGGUGAAAUGCGUAGAUAUGUGGAGGAACACCAGUGGCGAAGGCGACUCUCUGGGCUGUAACUGACGCUGAGG